Molecule: non-coding RNA, 172 nt
Filed under: Paramaledivibacter caminithermalis
Lineage: Bacteria; Bacillati; Bacillota; Clostridia; Peptostreptococcales; Caminicellaceae
Also listed under: 1 other name
Description: Clostridium caminithermale GlcN6P sequence
Rfam family: glmS glucosamine-6-phosphate activated ribozyme aptamer
About the family: This entry contains a glucosamine-6-phosphate activated ribozyme that is found in the mRNA for GlmS. GlmS is an enzyme that uses fructose-6-phosphate and glutamine to generate glucosamine-6-phosphate.
Source: RNAcentral
AUAUAUUAUAAAGCGCCUGGACUUAAAUCAGAUCGGAGAAAGUAGUGAUUUAAGUUGACGAGGACAGGGUUAAUCGAUUAGUCGGCGGGUGCCCUGCGGUGUAGCUCACCACCGAUAAAGGCUUUACAAACCCUACAAGUGAUUGUAGGAACAAAAAAGUUGGGUGAGAUAG